CAGCAAGCACCAAGAUUCCAAGUCCUACAGAGAGAGAGAGAGAGAGAGAGAGAGAGAGAGAGAGAUGGGGAGUCAUGGUUAAAAGAAUGAAGUAGUACCAAAUAUCUGUAAAGGGGAAGUAUCAUGUGUUCUAGCGAGCAAAAGGGAGGUCCAGGCUAGAGACAGGAAGAGAGAAUAAUCUCUCUUCUCGAUCUUCCCUUCCUUUUGGUUUGUGACAGCUUUUCUCAAGGGUUUCUUGAAGAGAGCCAGUUUUCCCUAAGGAAAAAGCCGGUCAAUGAAAAAAUUCAGUUGAUCAAUACUUGAGAAGCGUCGGAAUAACGAAACCAAACUUCUGCAUGGAGAGCUAGUAAUGUUGGGAAGAUGGGUAAGAAAGGUAGCUGGUUUUCUGCAAUCAAAAGGGUCUUCACACCCCACUCAAAGGAGAAACUAGUCAAUGAAUCAAAGAAGAAAUCUUCAAAGAAGGACAAGAAAAAGGGGCAAGCGAAGCAGAGACAUGGAGAGACAAAUUCAUUCAUUCCAUUCUUCAGAGAGCCGAGCAGUAUCGAGAAGAUCCUGGGAGAUGCCGAGAGAGAGCACAAAAUCGUUUAUAGACCUGCCACGCCCCCUCUUCCCGAGCAACCACGGACAUCUUCAGCUUAUGUGGCUCCUCGAGUGGCUUCUCAUCGGGCUCCUUCUCCAAAG
Molecule: long non-coding RNA, 681 nt
Organism: Eucalyptus grandis
Lineage: Eukaryota; Viridiplantae; Streptophyta; Magnoliopsida; Myrtales; Myrtaceae
Exons: 3
Source: RefSeq, a predicted model, not a curated record